This 2372-nucleotide long non-coding RNA is filed under the name Phasianus colchicus (ring-necked pheasant). RNAcentral's name for it is "lncRNA (ENSPCLG00000019101.1)". Lineage: Eukaryota; Metazoa; Chordata; Aves; Galliformes; Phasianidae. The record is from RNAcentral.
AUCACAUCAGAGCUCACUUCGAACCACUGGAUCACAUCAAACCCCAUCAGAAGAGCUCUGGGCUGCGUUGGAUGGGUCCUCCAUCACAUCAGAUCACGUUGGACCACGUGAGAUGAGUGCUGGGACGUGCUGGAUCCCAUCUGGAGAUCCCUGGGCUGCGUCAGAUCACGUUGGACCACAUUGGAUCAGCACUGGAUCCCACCAGAAUCCAUCAGAAGAGCUCUGCGCUGCAUUGGAUGAGCGCUGGACCACGCUGGAUCACAGGAGAUGGGCACUGAGAUGCUUUGGAUCCCAUCAGAACCCUGGGCUGCAACACAUCACAUCAGACCUCACAUUGGACUGCACUGGAUGAGCACUGGACCCCACCAGAUCCCAAGAGAACAACUCUGGGUCGCACUGGAUGAACGUUGGGACGCGUUGGAUGAGCACCAGGCGACGCUGGAUCGCAUAGGAUGAGCUCUAGGCCACACUGAACCCCAUCAGAAGAGCCCUGGACCACGUUGGAAAGAGACUCCAGCUGUGUCAGAUCACAUCAGAACUCACGUUGGACCACUUUGGAUGAGCACUGGACCACGCUGGAUCACAACAGAUCACAUGAGAUGAGCGCUGGGAUGCAUUGGACCCCAUCAGACGAGCCCUGGGCUGCAUCAGAUCACAUCAGGCCACACGUUGGACUGCACUGGGUGAGCACUGGACCACAUCAGACCCCAACAGAAGAUCUCUGGAUUGUGCUGGAUCACAUUGGAUCACGUUGGAGCACAUUAGACCCCAAUAGAAGAUCUCUGGACUGUGCUGGAUCACGUUGGACCACAUCAGACCCCAAUAGAAGAUCUCUGGAUUGUGCUGGAUCACGUUGGAUCACGUUGGACCACAUCAGAUCCCAACAGAAGAGCCCUGGGCCACGGCGGACCACACUGGAAAAGCCCUGGGCUGCACCAGAACACAUCAAAACUCACACUGGGUCGUACUGGGUGAGUCCUGGACUACCUCAGAGCACACUGGUUGAGUGCUGGGUCACGUUGGAUCCCACUGGGAGAGCCCUGGGCCGCACCAGACUGCACACCGGAUCACGCUGGAUGAGUUGGACAAACACUGGACCAUGUUGGACGACGUUUGACGAGCGCUGGAUCACACAGGACCCCGUCGGAAGAGCCCUGGGCUGCGACAGACCACGGGCUGGAUCAUGCUGGAUGAGCACUGGGCCACAUUGGAUCACGUUGGACGAGUCCUGGAUCGCACCGGACAAGCUGGAUGAGCACCAGACCACGUCGGAUAAGUGCUGGGUCAAGUCAAAAAAGCGUUGGACCACAUCGGACCGUUGUGGAAGAGCCCCGGGCUGCCCCACACCGCAGCAGAACACAGAAAGGACCGUGCUGGAUGAGUCCUGGACCCCACCGGAUGAACACCGCACCACGUCGGAUGACACCGCACAAAUCCUGGGUCACAUUCAACCCCGACAGAAGAGCCCCGGGAGGCCCCACACCACAGCAGGACACACAGCAGAUCACAUUGGCUGACCACCAGACUGCAUGGGACUCCCCCAGCAGAGCCCUGGGCUGCACCAAACCCCGUUGGAUGCAGUGGGGCCGCGUCGCUCCGCACCUCACGGCAUCGCGUGGGACAUCAGGGGCUCAGCUGCCCCCCACCCCACUGGGCUCUGCUCAGCGCACCGAGUCCGAGCCCAAAGCCCAGCGCUGAGCUCCUCACCCCCCCACCCCAAAAAUGGGAACCCCUCCCAGCUCCAGAAGUCCAUACCGGGAGGGAGGAGGGCAAGCGACGCCCAAGCCCAAGCCGAGCUCUACAUGUGUGUGGUUGUUUCUUUUUUGUUUGUUUUUCUCCUUUUUUCCUCAUUUUUUUUUUUCCCCCCCCUCGUUUCUCCCACCCAACGCCACCCCCUCGCCCCCCGCCCCGGCUCACAGCGAGUGCUGCUCCGCGUGGAGCGGGGCCGGGAUGAGCGCUUGGACGGGCGACUGCGGCGACGGCGGAGGGGUCCUGGGGGGCGAAGGCUGCGUCGCGAUGGGGGCGAAGGGGACGACGCCGGGGGGGGGAACGGCGGCCGACGGGGAGGCUGGGGCGGCGCUGGGGGGGUCGAGGAUGGGGCGGUGGUAGAAAAAGAAGGGGCACUGCUGGAUGAAGAGUUCGAUGAUUGUCUGGUAGGUGCGGGUCGCCGUCAGCGCGUCCAUCGUGCUGAAAUCGGGGCGCAUCAGCGUCGGCCAGAAGCAGAUGGAGAGGUUCUCGCUCGUCAUCAGGUUCACGCGGUGGUGGUGGCUCACCCUAAAGGAGGGGAGGUGGUGGGGAUGGGCCCAGCGCUGCCCCGACGGUGUAGGGAUGCAAGAGCAACAACUCGCCAAGCCCCAUUGGUGGGGUGACAA